RNAcentral lists this ribosomal RNA (761 nucleotides) under Candida albicans. Its description in RNAcentral is "LSU rRNA". It matches the Rfam family "Eukaryotic large subunit ribosomal RNA", at positions 103 to 881 of the family's 3401-position model. The record is from RNAcentral. Lineage: Eukaryota; Fungi; Ascomycota; Pichiomycetes; Serinales; Debaryomycetaceae.
AAAAGCUCAAAUUUGAAAUCUGGCGUCUUUGGCGUCCGAGUUGUAAUUUGAAGAAGGUAUCUUUGGGCCCGGCUCUUGUCUAUGUUCCUUGGAACAGGACGUCACAGAGGGUGAGAAUCCCGUGCGAUGAGAUGACCCGGGUCUGUGUAAAGUUCCUUCGACGAGUCGAGUUGUUUGGGAAUGCAGCUCUAAGUGGGUGGUAAAUUCCAUCUAAAGCUAAAUAUUGGCGAGAGACCGAUAGCGAACAAGUACAGUGAUGGAAAGAUGAAAAGAACUUUGAAAAGAGAGUGAAAAAGUACGUGAAAUUGUUGAAAGGGAAGGGCUUGAGAUCAGACUUGGUAUUUUGCAUGUUGCUCUCUCGGGGGCGGCCGCUGCGGUUUACCGGGCCAGCAUCGGUUUGGAGCGGCAGGAUAAUGGCGGAGGAAUGUGGCACGGCUUCUGCUGUGUGUUAUAGCCUCUGACGAUACUGCCAGCCUAGACCGAGGACUGCGGUUUUUAACCUAGGAUGUUGGCAUAAUGAUCUUAAGUCGCCCGUCUUGAAACACGGACCAAGGAGUCUAACGUCUAUGCGAGUGUUUGGGUGUAAAACCCGUACGCGUAAUGAAAGUGAACGAAGGUGGGGGCCCAUUAGGGUGCACCAUCGACCGAUCCUGAUGUGUUCGGAUGGAUUUGAGUAAGAGCAUAGCUGUUGGGACCCGAAAGAUGGUGAACUAUGCCUGAAUAGGGUGAAGCCAGAGGAAACUCUGGUGGAGGCUCGUAGC